This 231-nucleotide ribosomal RNA is filed under the name uncultured bacterium. Its description in RNAcentral is "partial 16S ribosomal RNA". It matches the Rfam family "Bacterial small subunit ribosomal RNA", at positions 981 to 1205 of the family's 1533-position model. The record is from RNAcentral.
UGGGUUUGACAUGGAUCGGGAGUGCUCAGAGAUGGGUGUGCCUCUUUUGGGGUCGGUUCACAGGUGGUGCAUGGCUGUCGUCAGCUCGUGUCGUGAGAUGUUGGGUUAAGUCCCGCAACGAGCGCAACCCUUGUUCACUGUUGCCAGCACGUUAUGGUGGGACUCAGUGGAGACCGCCGGGUCAACUCGGAGGAAGGUGGGGAUGACGUCAAGUCAUCAUGCCCCUUAUCG